GUGAAGAGGUUAAACUGUGAUACCUGUCACCCCACUGGUUGCUAGGGUGGAUUUGGCUCCUCUGAUUGGCUAGGCUAGUGUUCCCUUCCUUCUCCACGUGUGCCCUUCCCCAAAGCUGCAGCAGAUUAAGGAGGGCCAGUGGUCAAGGGUAUGGAAAUGUUUUCACUUUAAAAUGACAUUGUCGACUAUAUCAGUUU
This 197-nucleotide small RNA is filed under the name Echinops telfairi (small Madagascar hedgehog). RNAcentral's name for it is "7SK RNA (ENSETEG00000025963.1)". The stretch from base 1 to 97 matches the Rfam family "7SK RNA", at positions 5 to 102 of the family's 331-position model. The record is from RNAcentral. Lineage: Eukaryota; Metazoa; Chordata; Mammalia; Afrosoricida; Tenrecidae.